UAAAGGAAUAUUAUAAUUCAUCAAAAUUUAUCCCUACAGGAAUCUGGACACCCCAAAAAAUGAGCUAGUGAAAGAAAUUAUGAAACUUGCACAAAUAUUUUCUUUUUUUUUAAAGAGGCAGGCAUCCAUUUGGAUACAGCCUGGGGUGAGAGCAAAGGAUUCUUGCCAGGCCCUCUGUAAGACUUUCCCUCCCGGCAUGGGGAGCAGUGGAUGGAGGGUCGGGACACAUUACUGCACCCAUAUCAACCAGGUCUGCGAUGCUGAGCAAGUCCCUUCACUGCUCCAGGACUCCGGGCAGUAGAGUGUAACGGUUAAGAUGUGGCUCUGGAGCCCAGUGGCCUGGAUUUAAUAUUAGCUCCAGCUCCUGCUGAUCUUGGGAAAGUCACUUCAACUUUCAGCUCCUUCGUCUCUGGUGAUAUGCAUCCUCCUGUGUCACACAGCCCCACCAGCUUGUUGUGACCGAAACACGUAAACUCAGCAUCCAGCACAUAACACUCCGUAGCGGCUGAACACCAAGACGGCACUCCACUGGGAUGACCUUUGAUUCUUGGCAGAGGACAGCAAUUUCACUGAGGGAAUUCGCCCUGGUUGAUGAGUCUCUAGUGUUUGUCGAGAUCUCUGUGGAAACAAACAUUCAGAGGGUCUUUGUGGAACAGUCCAGAAAUAAUUGAGUAAUCCAGGAGACCCCUACUCGACCCCCCACAAAAAAUGUCAGGUUACACUUUCUUUUAAGGACUCCCUAAUUGAUGCCCUUGUAUAAAUAAUUGCUAUUUCCCAGCACUUUCACUUUUCCCUUUUACUGAGAAAAAAAUACAAAAGAAAAGUCAACCGAAUCAAGACAUAAAUUCAUUUUUACAGCUGAAUAAGCUUUGUCUUUGGUGGUUUUAAAAAUGAAAUAAAUGGGAAAAUAUUUGUUAGAGAAUAAUAAACACACCCAGGUAUUUGCAGCUCUUCUCAGGCAGGGCUAAGAUUGAAGUGGCUUGGUAAGACCACCUGUGUUUCUUGGUGCAAGCCCAGCAGAGCUUCAGAAUUUGUAUAGUUGGUUUCAGUCCAGCGACCUGGCUACAUUCUUGGAUCUCUUACUCAACAUGAGGCAUCAAGAUCACUGGAAACUUGAACAAAAACAUCAACAACUGGAAGAGCCAGUUAGCCUAUGGUUUGACCCCCAGCCUGCACACCCUUACAUCAAUCUACUUCUAAUCUUCUGGGAAAUUAGUUCAGCCUUCAAGGCAGGAGAAGGGGCGACCUGAGGGUACAGCUGCUCAGUGUCCCGUAGGAGAUGAAGAAUCUACAGUCACCCGAAAGCACACAGUUAGAUGGUUGCUUUUUACUCUGCUUUCCCCUUGGCAGAAAGGACGCCUCCAUAAUAACUCUAAAAGCAUUAAAGAAAAAGCAGCACACUGUAGCAUUCCACAAUGGAAUCCAAUAAAAGAAACAUAACUCAAAAUCACUUCAGAAGCAAUUAAUAAAUUGGUACUCAGAAGCAGCUCCUCAAGGAAGUUUGCUCUUCAGCCCAAUAAUCUAAAACACAUCCUGAAAACAGUAGCUAAGGAGGAAGGAAAAGAUAACAAAUCUUAUUUUCCGCUUGUCCUUUGGUAUACUUCAAAAUAAUUUGGAUACUUUCUGAAGUAGCUAUUUUGGAAGUUUUUAUUCAAGUUCCCGAGGGCCUACUUAUUUUAACUACCUUUAUCUAAAGAAGAUGGUAAAAUGGCCGUAUCAACUUUAAUAGGACGAGUGAGCUGUAGACACAGUAUCACUACUGAGCCAGCCAGCCUAGGUUUCAGGACCCACCUUCACUCCCUACCUGUGUGACCCCAGACAGGUAAUUUAACCCCUUUCAACCUCAGCCUUCUGAUUUGAAAAUGAAAAGAUAGGAUAAGAUUCUGGUUUCCCACAGUGUGUUUCAUGAACAUAGGUAUUAUGUUAAAAAAAUAGUUUUCGUUUUAUUUAUGUUUCAGAAAUGUAGUGUUAAAGUUAAAUGGAGUUUUACAACAAGAUUGAUCACAUCUUUUAAUACACUAAUUACUAUCAUAAAUUGAGGGUUAUAAUAUGUAGCAAUAUCUAAACUUAUUUGACCACGGGACUCUUAUUCACGGAGCAUCACGGGAAUAGCAUAAUCUAAGGUUGCAUCCAGCUCUAAAGUUCCAUUUUUCAAUCUGAAGUAGCUAAUUGCAAAUUGGCACAUAUACAGAGGUCAUCAUCACAGUAAUUAUUAAUCAUCUUCGAAUGAUGUGCUUACAGGUGGAUGUGUGGGAAAAUGGAACAGAACAGGCAUAUAUCAAAUCCUACCUAGUGGGAGGAUUUCCUUAUUCUCCACCUAUUCUCCUCACCCUUGGGGGACUGAUCUCCCAUGCAUACAAGGCCUUGGGUCAGAGAGAGAAGGUCCCAGACUCAUCACCAUGCAAACUGGUAUUACUCAUUACUGGUAUUACUCAUUGCACCCUGUUACGCUCUUUGUCUUCCUUAUGGGUAAUAUAAGGUCUAAUUGACAAGCUCUGUUUCUCUACUCAGCAAUGUAUCCACCACACAUGUCAUUUCUUUCCAGAAAACAAAUUUUAUUUUUAAAUAUUUUAAAGC
This is a long non-coding RNA of Rhinolophus ferrumequinum (greater horseshoe bat), 2577 nucleotides long. RefSeq lists it as uncharacterized. NCBI's taxonomy places the organism in Eukaryota, Metazoa, Chordata, Mammalia, Chiroptera, Rhinolophidae. The record is from RefSeq and is a predicted model, not a curated record. The transcript is spliced from 3 exons.